AUUGCACGCUAGCGGGAUGCCUUACACAUGCACGUCGAACGGAGUGGCGAACGGGUGAGUAAUGUCUCGGAACGUGCCCAGUAGCGGGGGAUAACUACGCGAAAGCGUAGCUAAUAACACAUACUAUUGGAGCGGCCGAUAGCGGAUUAGCUAGUUGGGGGGGUAACGGCUCACCAAGGCGACGAUCCGUAGCUGGUUUGAGCGGACGACCAGCCACACUGGGACUGAGACACGGCCCAGACGCCUACGGGAGGCAGCAGUGGGGAAUGUUGGACAAUGGGGGAAACUCUGACUCAGCCAUCCCGCGUGGGUGAUGAAGGCCUUCGGGUUGGAAAGCACGUUUGGCAGGAAAGCGGUACCUGCAGAAUAAGCAACGGCUAACUACGUGCCAGCAGCCGCGGUAAUAC
This 407-nucleotide ribosomal RNA is filed under the name uncultured bacterium. Its description in RNAcentral is "partial 16S ribosomal RNA". It matches the Rfam family "Bacterial small subunit ribosomal RNA", at positions 29 to 526 of the family's 1533-position model. The record is from RNAcentral.